Ipomoea nil (Japanese morning glory) is the source of this 101-nucleotide long non-coding RNA. RefSeq lists it as uncharacterized. The transcript is spliced from 3 exons. NCBI's taxonomy places the organism in Eukaryota, Viridiplantae, Streptophyta, Magnoliopsida, Solanales, Convolvulaceae. The record is from RefSeq and is a predicted model, not a curated record.
UAUUUCUAUGUGAUUUGUACGAACAAUACCAAAGAAAUUUUGGAAUCAAAGUGCACGUAAAACACCCAAAAAAAAAAAAAAAAGAAAAAAAAAAGUUUGAU